Oncorhynchus keta (chum salmon) is the source of this 653-nucleotide long non-coding RNA. RefSeq lists it as uncharacterized. The transcript has 4 exons. Lineage: Eukaryota; Metazoa; Chordata; Actinopteri; Salmoniformes; Salmonidae. The record is from RefSeq and is a predicted model, not a curated record.
CUGAGAGGAGGUAGUCUCACCUGGGGUGCUGGGCUGUAGAGGCUCUGAGAGGAGGUAGUCUCACCUGGGGUGCUGGGCUGUAGAGGCUCUGAGAGGAGGUAGUCUCACCUGGGGUGCUGGGCUGUAGAGGCUCUGAGAGGAGGUAGUCUCACCUGGGGUGCUGGGCUGUAGAGGCUCUGAGAGGAGGUAGUCUCACCUGGGGUGCUGGGCUGUAGAGGCUCUGAGAGGAGGUAGUCUCACCUGGGGUGCUGGGCUGUAGAGGCUCUGAGAGGAGGUAGUCUCACCUGGGGUGCUGGGCUGUAGAGGCUCUGAGAGGAGGUAGUCUCACCUGGGGUGCUGGGCUGUAGAGGAGGUAGUCUCACCUGGGGUGCUGGGCUGUAGAGGCUCUGAGAGGAGGUAGUCUCACCUGGGGUGCUGGGCUGUAGAGGCUCUGAGAGGAGGUAGUCUCACCUGGGGUGCUGGGCUGUAGAGGCUCUGAGAGGAGGUAGUCUCACCUGGGGUGCUGGGCUGUAGAGGCUCUGAGAGGAGGUAGUCUCACCUGGGGUGCUGGGCUGUAGAGGCUCUGAGAGGAGGUAGUCUCACCUGGGGUGCUGGGCUGUAGAGGCUCUGAGAGGAGGUAGUCUCACCUGGGGUGCUGGGCUGUAGAGGCUCUG